UAGCUCAGUUGGUAGAGCGUGGUGUUUGCAACACCAGGGUUGUGGGUUCGAUUCCCAC
Non-coding RNA from Salmo salar (Atlantic salmon), 58 nucleotides. Lineage: Eukaryota; Metazoa; Chordata; Actinopteri; Salmoniformes; Salmonidae. The record is from Rfam.